GCGCGCAUGGCGGAAUUGGCAGACGCACCAGACUUAGGAUCUGGCGGAGCGAUCCUUGGGGGUUCAAGUCCCUCUGCGCGCA
Molecule: transfer RNA, 82 nt
Filed under: Candidatus Margulisiibacteriota bacterium
Lineage: Bacteria; Bacillati; Candidatus Margulisiibacteriota
Description: tRNA-Leu
Rfam family: tRNA
About the family: Transfer RNA (tRNA) molecules are approximately 80 nucleotides in length.
Source: RNAcentral